Long non-coding RNA from Orcinus orca (killer whale), 2449 nucleotides. RefSeq lists it as uncharacterized. NCBI's taxonomy places the organism in Eukaryota, Metazoa, Chordata, Mammalia, Artiodactyla, Delphinidae. The record is from RefSeq and is a predicted model, not a curated record. The transcript has 3 exons.
AGAAAAAAAACAGACGGAUAGAGCCCUUGGACAAAUGGUGGAUGCAAAGCUAUACAGACAAAAUCUCACACAGAAGCAUACACAUACACACUCACAAAAAGAGGGAAAGGGGUAAAAAUCAUAAAUCUUGCUCUCAAAGUGCACCUCCUCAGUUUGGGGUGAUUCGUUGUCUAUUCAUGUAUUCCACAGAUGCAGGGUACAUCGAGUUGACUGUGGAGCUUUAAUCCGCUGCUUCUGAGGCUGCUGGGAGAGAUUUCCCUUUCUCUUCUUUGUUCUCACAGCUCCCAGGGGCUCAGCUUUGGAUUUGGCCCGGCCUCUGCCUGUAGGUCGCCGGAGGGCGUCUGUUCUUCUCUUAGACAGGACAGGGCUAAAAGAGCCGCUGAUUCGGGGGCUCUGGCCCACCCAGGCCGGGGGGAGGGAGGGGCACGGAGUGCGCGGCGGGCCUGCGGUGGCAGAAGCCGGCGUGACGUUGCACCAGCCCGAGGCGUGCCGUGCGUUCUCCCGGGGGAGUUGUCCCUGGAUCCCGGGACCCUGGCAGUGGCGAGCUGCACAGGCUCCCCGGAAGGUGGGUGUGGAUAGUGACCUGUGCUCGCUCACAGGCUUCUUGGUGGCGGCAGCAGCAGCCUUAGCGUCUCAUGCCCGUCUCUGGGGUCCGCGCUUUUAGCCGCGGCUCGCGCCCGUCUCUGGAGCUCCUUUAAGCAGCGCUCUUAAUCCCCUCUCCUCGUGCACCAGGAAACAAAGAGGGAUGAAAAAGUCUCUUGCUUCUUCGGCAGGUCCAGACUUUUCCCCGUGCUCUCUCCCGGCUAGCCGUGGCGCACUAACCUGCUGCAGGCUGUUUUCACGCCGCCAACCCCAGUCCUCUCCCUGCGCUCCGACCGAAGCCCGAACCUCAGCUCCCAGCCCCGCCCGCCCCGGCGGGUGAGCAGACAAGCCUCUCGAGCUGUUCGCAGUCUGGGCAGCAGGAACGAGAAUGCUCUGUUCCCCACGUCAUCAUUAGAAGGGGAUAUUUACUACUUCUCCUCUUGUUUGCCGACCUGAAUCAUUAGAAGAUGAAUUGACAAGAAAACAAACAAUCUCAAGAGUCAAAAAGACAACUCAACAGCAAAAAAAAUCCCACCAAAAAACCCCCCAAAAACUGAUUUUUAAAUGGGCAAAGGACUUGAAUAGACAUUUCUCCAAAGAAUAUAUACAAAUGGCCAAUAACUAUGUGAAAAGGUACCCAGCGUCACUAAUCAUUAGGGACAUGCAAAUCAAAACCACAAUGAUAUACCACUUCACACCCAUUACGAUGACUAUUACAAAACAGAAGAACAAACAACAGGAGAAAAAACAGAGGAUAGGUGUUGGCAAGGAUGUAAAGAAAUUGGAACCCUGUGCACUGCUGGUGGGAAUGUAAAUGGUGCAGCUGCUGUGGAAAACCAUAUGGCAGUUCCUCAAAAAAUUAAAUAUAGAAUUACCAUAUGACCCAGCAAUUCCAAUUCUGGGUAUAUACAUAAAAGAAUUGAAAGCAGGGACACAAACAGAUGUUUGUAUACCAAUGUUCAUAGCAGCAUUAUUCACAAUAGCCAAAAGGUGGAAGUAACUGAAGUGUCUAUUGACGGAUGAACAGAGAAGCAAGGUGUGGUCUAUAUACAUACAAUGAAAUACUACUCAGCCUUAAAAAGGAAGAAACUUCUGGCACAUGCUACAACAUAGAUGAACCUUGAGGACAUUAUGCUAAAUGAAAUAAACCAGUCAUAAAAGAACAAAUACUGACAUGGGGUACUUACAGUAGUCAAAUUCAUAGAGACAGAAAGUAGAUGGUGGUUGCCAGGGCUGGGAAGAGGACAUUCUUCUUUUAUUAAACUGUAAUUUUAUUUUUAUGUUAUUCUGUAAUAUACCUGUAGGCAUAUAAAAUGCAGCAUUAUUUAUAACAGUAAAAGAUUAUUAAAACAUACAAACAAAUAAAAACAGUAAAACAUUGGUUGAAUAAAACUAAGUUACAUCUCCAAAAGUAUGUAACUUUCUCAAGAUGGAGUACUACAGAAACAUUUAAGAAAAGGAUAUUGAUAUAAGAGAAUUCCAGGAUACAGUGUUACAUUAAAAAAUCAAGAUAGUGAACAGUGUAUAUAGUAUAUUACCCUUUAUGUAGGCUACACACACACACACACACACACACACACACACACACACACACACACACGUAUUUACGGAAACACACACAGGAUAGGGAAACCAGAGGCUAAAUUUUUUUUAAUAAUGCAUUUGAGGAGUAUAAAAAAGGUGUAAGGUUUUCCUGAAUAUUCUUUGGUUUCUCAUUUUAAAUUUAGGACUCCGCCUGCCAAUGCAGGGGACGUGGGUUCGUGCUCCGGUCCGGGGGGAUCCCACAUGCCGCAGAGCGGCUGGGCCCGUGAGCCAUGGCCGCUGGGCCUGUGCAUCCGGAGCCUGUGCUCCACAGCGGGAGAGGCCA